RNAcentral lists this ribosomal RNA (310 nucleotides) under Bacillus sp. 47MM FL05. RNAcentral's name for it is "bacterial SSU rRNA". It matches the Rfam family "Bacterial small subunit ribosomal RNA", at positions 50 to 346 of the family's 1533-position model. Lineage: Bacteria; Bacillati; Bacillota; Bacilli; Caryophanales; Bacillaceae. The record is from RNAcentral.
GCUAUACAUGCAAGUCGAGCGAACUGAUUAGAAGCUUGCUUCUAUGACGUUAGCGGCGGACGGGUGAGUAACACGUGGGCAACCUGCCUGUAAGACUGGGAUAACUUCGGGAAACCGAAGCUAAUACCGGAUAGGAUCUUCUCCUUCAUGGGAGAUGAUUGAAAGAUGGUUUCGGCUAUCACUUACAGAUGGGCCCGCGGUGCAUUAGCUAGUUGGUGAGGUAACGGCUCACCAAUGCAACGAUGCAUAGCCGACCUGAGAGGGUGAUCGGUCACACUGGGACUGAUACACGGCCCAGACUCCUACGGGA